Long non-coding RNA from Carassius carassius (crucian carp), 422 nucleotides. RefSeq lists it as uncharacterized. The transcript is spliced from 2 exons. Lineage: Eukaryota; Metazoa; Chordata; Actinopteri; Cypriniformes; Cyprinidae. The record is from RefSeq and is a predicted model, not a curated record.
AGUGGUCAGGGACAGGGCCAGGGAAGCGGUCAGGGACAGGGAAGUGGUCGGGGACAAGGACAGGGUCAGGGACAGGGCCAGGGAAGCGGUCAGGGGCAAGGCCAGGGCCAAGGACAGGGAAGCGGUCAGGGACAAGGCCAGGGUCAGGGACAAGGCCAGGGUCAGGGACAAGGCCAGGGAAGCGGUCAGGGACAAGGCCAGGGAAGCGGUCAGGGACAAGGCCAGGGAAGCGGUUAGGGGAGAAGUCAAGAGAAUAGUCAGGGAUGUGGUCAUUGAAGUGGACAUGGGACUUUUGAUUAAUGCUUACUGGAGAUCUUUUCAAUUCAGUUUUAAUCCUAUGGCAUGGUUUCCUUUGUUUGCUCAAACUGUUUUGAAAACUUUUUGGUCUGCUCCACCUCAAAUAAAGAAUUGCUUGAUUUGAA